This 6726-nucleotide long non-coding RNA is filed under the name Triticum aestivum (bread wheat). RNAcentral describes it as "long non-coding RNA (TAES_LNC012349)". The record is from RNAcentral. Lineage: Eukaryota; Viridiplantae; Streptophyta; Magnoliopsida; Poales; Poaceae.
UUUCAUAUACAUCUUUUGGCACUCAAAUAUGCGGUUUAUUGAGAUAUGACCAUCAAUUCUUGCUGUGAAAUAUUGAAUAUUUGCAUGGAAAUCAUAUAAUGAAUCAUUUACUAGUCAUUGUGUUUCUUUUGCAGAAAAGUGCGACAAGGCACUAUAAUCUACAAGUUCCUGUCUAGAAAGAAUUGAGGAACAAGAUCACGGGCAAGAAGAGAAGAAAGAGGGACUCAAGCUUGAAGAAGAUUAAAGCUUAGGGGGGCUAGCUUAAGAAGUGGAGGGAUCAUCUUGUGCCAAAAGAAGGAAGAAGGAGGGCCAAAGUGAAAACAUUUAGAUCUGACCGGAGGGGAUCAAAAUCCCUAGCAGCCUCCAUUCCCAAAACGAGCCUGGCAUAUCUCUCUUCUCCCUUACCCCUUCUUCCCCAUCACCGGCCGCCACCGUGGCCAGGCCGGCGUGGCGGCGCGCCACCAGCUCUACUUCGCCGCAACACACCCAUCCAUCCAUGCCACACCCAGCCAACCAUCCCGCCAUCUCCACAAUCCAACACCUCCAGCCACCAGCGCCCAUCUCGCCUGCCAUACUCGCGCGCUUGACCAGACGAGGGGAUCCUGGAGUCUGAUCCCUAGCAAACUCUCCUACUGCUGCUCAUCUACAACUCUCCCUGCUGCUGUUUUUCAACAAGAUCGCCUCCCAUCCGCGCCCUUUUGUUGUCGCUCUUGCUUCUUCUCCGAACCUCAGUCUGCUGCUGCUUCUUCUCUCUGAACCGCCUGCUGCUCUUCCUCAACGCCCCCUGCGACUUCGCUCUUCUCCACAACCCUGCUACUACUUCUCUUUUUCCCCUAACGCUGUCGUUGCUGCUCUUCUUCUACCUGUCGCUGCUGCUGCUCUCAACCUCUCUCCUUGCGCCCCUUCUUCUCCCACGAACUGCUGCACCUUCUCCUCUCAACGCCUCCUACUACUGCAUUUUUUUCUCCAACGCCCCUGAUGUCCAGCUGCUCCUCUUCACCAACUUGCUGCUGUCAUAUCUCUCUAUCUCUCUUUCUCCCUCUCUUUAUUCUCUAAAUUUCUGUAAUCUUUGAGUAGUGUAAUGUUCAGUACUCUGUAAUGUUCAGAAUUGAGAUGUGUAAUACUUAUAAUAUUCAGAUUUCAUAAGAGCUUAUAACCUGACGAUUGUUCAGUUUCGGACUUAUAAAUAUUGUAUCACAUAUUGUGUGUUCUCACCAGUUGAAGUGUUCUUGCCGUGUAUUUGUGGUCUAUCUGUCACCAUAUAUGAGUAUCCAACCUUGUGAACUUGUUUCAUUUUGUAGUCUGUGUUAACUCCAGCACGUGUGAUAUAUAUAUACAUGUGUGCCUAUGAUGUGAUAUGUUCAUGUUCUGUCCUAAAACCCUAUUUCUUCCUCCAUGUUAUAUAAAUGAUCAUGUCUUUUUAAUUCCCUAGCUGUUUGAUGAUUGCUCGUAUUAGUAUUUUAACUUCUCAAGCAUUACGAAAAUACCAAAAAGACAAUGAGUAAAAUCUGAAUCUCCCUUUGCUUCUUUUCAUUUACUUUGUUGCCAAUUUUCCGAAACGAUCUUAGAUUCUUCAGGUUUAUUUUCCCAGUAAUCGUCACUUAAAUUUUCUAUCCUAGCUUUAGCCGAGCAUCAUCGCUGAUCAUCUAGUCCCUGUGGAGAACAUGACAUUCGUAGUUUGGGGCGUAAAAACCCCGCUAUAUUACAAUUGAUCAUUUUUGGCGCCGUUGCCGGGGAAUAGCAUCGAGCGAUUGUGUGAAGCUAUAGACUAGGCUUAGUAUAGUUUUUGUUUAAAUUUCCAGUCAAAUUUAUUUCUGUGUUUCUUUUACCUUUUUACUUUUUGUUGCUUCGGCUUAUUAGGGUACUAACCCUCUCACCAGUCUUUGAUGUUUGUGAGCAUGUGUAGGAUAUCUUACUAUUUGUAGGCUGAUUGACAGUUGCGCUUGAACAUAUGGCUUUAGUACGUGAUCUUUGGUUGCCAAGUAGCUUGGGCACGAUGACAGGGCCAAUUUGGCCAUCUAUUGAGACCGAAAAUUUUGAGUUGAGGCCUGGACUUAUUGCUCUCGUCUUGCAGAAUCAGUUUAGAGGAUUACCCAACGAAGACCCUCAUGAGCACAUUUGUAAUGUCCUGGAGUAUGCCAAUACUGUCCAGUACCAUGGCGUUUCCCAAGAUGCUAUCAAGUGUAUGCUGUUCACAUUCUCUCUCAGAGAUGCUGCUAAGGACUGGUACUAUUCUUUGCCAUCAAUAUCAUACACUUGGGGUGAUAUUUCGCAAGCUUUCCUGGACAGAUAUUUUCCACUUUACAAGCAAGCUGCAAUUCGUGACCAGAUCCUCAGUUUUGCGCAAGAUGGAAGUGAGAGCUUGUAUGCAGCUUGGGAGAGAUAUAAGUAUUUGCUUAGAAAAUGUCCUAAUCAUGGGCAAAAGGAUUGGUUAGUGCUCCAGAUAUUCUAUAGAGGGCUGACACAUGCUUCGAGAGAUCUUAUUGAUAUGUCCGCUGGUGGAACAAUCAUGAACAAGACCGUUGAGGGUGCAAUUAUUCUCAUUGAGAGCAUUGCCUUCCACCAAAUGCAAUGGGGUUAUGAAAGGUCCAGUUCAAAUCCGAAGGUUGCAAGCCAUCUGCAAUCAGAAGCUGUGUGUUCCAUAAGUGAACAGAAAUCAUCGAUGGUGCCUAAUAUUCAAAACCAGCAUGUUCCAUUCCGGGGACAACAACAUUUCAGAGCUGAAGUAGAUCCUCCAUGUAGAAAGAUUGAUCUUACUUCAAGUAUCCUUGAUGAUGAUUAUGAUAUUUUUCAAGAUGAUGCAACCAUUGUAGAUCAGAUGGAAACCACAGUAGCAGAUCCAAUACCUCAAUGCAAUGAAACUGUCCAGACUGAGUUAAAGUUGCAAGAUGAUGUUUAUGAGGAACCUACUCUGAUUGAUGCUAAGUUGAGACAACAAGAUAUGGAGAAAUUCACUUGUGUUAGUCAACUAUGUGACUGGUGGAACUUAGUCGUGGCACCAAUUGCCCACACUUGUGUUACAACUGUAUCUGGGAUAUUUGUCAAGAAGAAAUCAUUAGCUCCACCGGUGGUUGCCUCUAUCUCAGUUAAAGAGAGUAUCUCAUAGAAGAAUAGUGAAGAUGAGAUUCCAACUCCUGCACAUACAUCUAAGCAAGUCGGAGACAUUCCAAGGAGAGAGAUACAAGAGGUUGAGUCAAAUUUAGAAGAGUUGAUACUUCAAUAUCCUGAGAAGAUCCCACGUGUUGCUGAGCUGCAUGACUGGUGGAAGUCAUCAGUGUCAUUGUUGAAACUUAGCAGUGAUGGUGAUGAGGAGAAUAUUGCUCAGAAAGACAGCGAGGUAGUGAUCUCAGCACCCCUACCAGAUCAUGUUAGUGCAUAUUCACAGAUGGGGACACUUCAGACUCAAUUAGGUGUUGCUGGUAGUAGCACCAUAGAAGAUCCAGAGGAAGAGAGAUCUCAACUUGAAGAAGAAAUACUCGAAGACGAGGAACAAGAUGAUCCAGAGCUCGAACAACCAAGUGAUCAAGUUGAAGAUUCAUCAUCUACUACUCUUGAAGAAGCAACAGAAGUUGCUGUAGAUGAACUUGAAGAACCAGAAAUUCAUUUGCCUAUUGUCAUACAAGAGCGUGAUGUAGCAGGUUUAUCUAAUCCUCUUGAUGACAUGCGUCCCUAUGACUUAUUUGCUUCUACCUUGCAUUACAUGAUACCAUCAAUUAAGGUAGAUUUGAGAAAGUAUUUUCUUGGAUAUGAUGAUAUAUACCAUGUUCAUGGCAUUGCUCACAUUUGUUACGAUUACACUUAUGCUAGACCCAUGCUUAAUGAAACAUGUCAUUCUCAUGUUAGUCUGGAGCUUAAUGAUAAAUAUCAUCCUCAUGUUAGCAUUGAGCUUACUGAUUUGUACCAUCCUAAACAUGUGCUUUAUAGCUAUGCUUAUGUAAUUGGAUAUUCGAUUGAUGACUUGGAGGGUAUUAGCCCUACCACUUGCAUUGUCUCUUUCAUUGAGUGCUCUUUCAGGUUCUUGCUUGUGCACGAUCCACUACAUGCUGACCAAGUUCGAGAUGACAUUCCCUGGGACCCCGGUGGACCUAUGGCAUGGGGAUGAGGAGAAGCAAGGAGCACACAUGAAGAGAGAAGAUGGAGCAGGCAUGAGGAUAGGGAAGCAAUAGGAGAGGAGUCACAAUGCACGAGGAAGCAAAGGAGAGGAGCUGCAGUUGGUGAGGUGAUCGAGCGAGUGCUACAUCAUCAAAGCCCGGUGAGCUGUUUCAUGACCCAUUCCGAGUACAUCAUCCUUUGAUACAUGCUGAAAUCAAAUGUUAUUUGGGUUGCUUAAGCCAUGUCUUAAAUGUUGCCCCACUGAAUUUUAUUUGACAUAUGGUGCUUGAUGAGAAUAUGCGAACUGAUUGUUGAAUGCCAUGUAAACUAGUGAUCUACAUAUUGCUUGCUUUGCUAAAAUUAGUGAAAGUUAUUAGUUUUGAGUGCUCAAAUCCCUAGUACACUAGAAAACUUAAUCAUUUUCUGCUUUUACCUCGAUACACCUAGAUCACGACGUUUAGAUGCUGAAUUUGUGCCAAGUGUCUUCCCAUUGAGAGCAAUCACCUAACCACUAUGGAUUAGCAUGCUAUGUUCCCUGGAUCGGUAGCAUGUGAACCAGACAUGGAGAAGUGAUGAUUCCUGUUUUUGUUCUUAUGCAUUGUUCAUUUAAGAUAAGUAAUAAUGAAUAAAUAAGUCUGACUACCUACAGUAGCAUGUCAUGUUCCCGGGAUCGGUGGCAUGUGAAAUUGGGUUAGCUUGGGCAGUAAUUAAUAAUAAAAAAAUUGUAAUUGUCGAACCAGGUGUAUACCAUGUUCUCGGGAUCGGUGGUAUGUUCCUUUGGGGAGACAAACAAACUAAAAAAACUAAUAACUGGUCGAGCCAGGUGUAUACCAUGUUCUCAGGAUCGGUGGUAUGUUCCUUUGGUGAGACUGAUAAUAUAUUAUCAUUACUUCCUUCAAAUUCAAUAAGUGGUUCAACCACAAAGUCAUAUUUCUGCAAAUAAGAGAUUUAAUUCCAGUUCUUUUUUGUUCUCGCGAUCAUGCUCUCUUUAGGGACCAUUUGGCGCAGUCAUCAUUUAAACUUGUUGAUCCUCUUUUAUCAUUGUAAAAGUUUAAAAUGGUCAUGCUUACUAGUAUCCUAUUGCUCUGUAGCACUCUUAACCAUUGAUUUUCACUAGCUAAGUCCAAAGCAUGCACUGUUUAGAGAUCUACUUCACUUGGACAUUCUCUAGUCAGCUCACUAUUCACUAUCCUGCUCUUGUCAUAUUCCUUUGCUUGAGGACAAGAAAAGAUUUAAGUGUGGGGGAACUUGAUAAGCACAUUUCAUAUACAUCUUUUGGCACUCAAAUAUGCGGUUUAUUGAGAUAUGACCAUCAAUUCUUGCUGUGAAAUAUUGAAUAUUUGCAUGGAAAUCAUAUAAUGAAUCAUUUACUAGUCAUUGUGUUUCUUUUGCAGAAAAGUGCGACAAGGCACUAUAAUCUACAAGUUCCUGUCUAGAAAGAAUUGAGGAACAAGAUCACGGGCAAGAAGAGAAGAAAGAGGGACUCAAGCUUGAAGAAGAUUAAAGCUUAGGGGGGCUAGCUUAAGAAGUGGAGGGAUCAUCUUGUGCCAAAAGAAGGAAGAAGGAGGGCCAAAGUGAAAACAUUCAGAUCUGAUCGGAGGGGAUCAAAAUCCCUAGCAGACUCCAUUCCCAAAACGAGCCUGGCAUAUCUCUCUUCUCCCUUACCCCUUCUUCCCCAUCACCGGCCGCCACCGUGGCCAGGCCGGCGUGGCGGCGCGCCACCAACUCUACUUCGCCGCAACACACCCAUCCAUCCAUGCCACACCCAGCCAACCAUCCCGCCAUCUCCACAAUCCAACACCUCCAGCCACCAGCGCCCACCUCGCCUGCCAUACUCGCGCGCUUGACCAGACGAGGGGAUCCUGGAGUCUGAUCCCUAGCAAACUCUCCUACUGCUGCUCAUCUACAACUCUCCCUGCUGCUGUUUUUCAACAAGAUCGCCUCCCAUCCGCGCCCUUUUGCUGUCGCUCUUGCUUCUUCUCUGAACCUCAGCCUGCUGCUGCUUCUUCUCUCUGAACCGCCUGCUGCUCUUCCUCAACGCCCCCUGCGACUUCGCUCUUCUCCACAACCCUGCUACUACUUCUCUUUUUCCCCUAACGCUGUCAUUGCUGCUCUUCUUCUACCUGCCGCUGCUGCUGCUCUCAACCUCUCUCCUUGCGCCCCUUCUUCUCCCACGAACUGCUGCACCUUCUCCUCUCAACGCCUCCUACUGCUACAUUUUUUUUCUCCAACGCCCCUGAUGUCCAGCUGCUCCUCUUCACCAACUUGCUGCUGUCAUAUCUUUCUAUCUCUCUUUCUCCCUCUCUUUAUUCUCUAAAUUUCUGUAAUCUUUGAGUAGUGUAAUGUUCAGUACUCUGUAAUGUUCAGAAUUGAGAUGUGUAAUACUUAUAAUAUUCAGAUUUCAUAAGAGCUUAUAACCUGACGAUUGUUCAAUUUCGGACUUAUAAAUAUUGUAUCACAUAUUGUGUGUUCUCACCAGUUGAAGUGUUCUUGCCAUGUAUUUGUGGUCUAUCUGUCACCAUAUAUGAGUAUCCAACCUUGUGAACUUGUUUCAUUUUGUAGUCUGUGUUAACUCCAGCACGUGUGAUAUAUAUAUAUACAUGUGUGCCUAUGAUGUGAUAUGUUCAUGUUCUG